Non-coding RNA from Cinara cedri, 330 nucleotides. The record is from the annotation of a GenBank genome assembly. NCBI's taxonomy places the organism in Eukaryota, Metazoa, Arthropoda, Insecta, Hemiptera, Aphididae.
GAAAAUUACGGAAAUUAGAAUCGACUGGUGUAUUGACGAGGUAAUAUAAAUAAUAUUAUUUCGUUAGAAAUGGUAAAAAAUACAUCAGCGAGUAAACGGUGAACGGACGAACACAAAAUCCACCGGAUCAGCAAAUUCUUACACGGGCGUCGUCGAGUUUACCACCACACCGGGUAACCAUCAUCGUCAUCGUCGUGGUCGUCGCCGCCGUCGCAAACGAAGGUUACCGCCAGGACGUGUGUGCCGCCGCCGGAUAUUCAUUAUUUUUGUUCACGCUCCGUCGUGCCGUUGCGUGACGUAAACGAGCUCUUAUACGAUUAUUUUUUUUUU